Molecule: ribosomal RNA, 245 nt
Filed under: uncultured Gardnerella sp.
Lineage: Bacteria; Bacillati; Actinomycetota; Actinomycetes; Bifidobacteriales; Bifidobacteriaceae
Description: partial 16S ribosomal RNA
Rfam family: Bacterial small subunit ribosomal RNA
Source: RNAcentral
GUAAUGCGUGACCAACCUGCCCCAUGCUCCAGAAUAGCUCUUGGAAACGGGUGGUAAUGCUGGAUGCUCCAACUUGACGCAUGUCUUGUUGGGAAAGUGUUUAGUGGCAUGGGAUGGGGUCGCGUCCUAUCAGCUUGUAGGCGGGGUAAUGGCCCACCUAGGCUUCGACGGGUAGCCGGCCUGAGAGGGCGGACGGCCACAUUGGGACUGAGAUACGGCCCAGACUCCUACGGGAGGCAGCAGUU